GCAGUAGCCGCGGGAAUACGGAGGGUGCAAGCGUUAAUCGGAAUUACUGGGCGUAAAGCGCACGCAGGCGGUCUGACAAGUCAGAUGUGAAAUCCCCGGGCUUAACCUGGGAACUGCAUUUGAAACUGUCAGGCUGGAGUCUUGUAGAGGGGGGUGGAAUUCCAGGUGUAGCGGUGAAAUGCGUAGAGAUCUGGAGGAAUACCGGUGGCGAAGGCGGCCCCCUGGACAAAGACUGACGCUCAGGUGCGAAAGCGUGGGGAGCAAACAGGAUUAGAGACCCCAGUAGUCCCUGUCUCUUAUAC
This 302-nucleotide ribosomal RNA is filed under the name uncultured bacterium. Its description in RNAcentral is "partial 16S ribosomal RNA". It matches the Rfam family "Bacterial small subunit ribosomal RNA", at positions 508 to 807 of the family's 1533-position model. The record is from RNAcentral.